UUCUGAGUUUUCUCGUUUAUGUUAAACUUGUAUAUACUAAUUUCUCAAUCACUUUGGAUGACAGAUCUAGGUAAGUGCUUCUGAGUUUUUUUAUUUUUUGUUUUUCGUUUUUACAGAUGUAAAUCGGUAGUGACGAUGCUCUUUGUGAUCAUGUGGAUGAGGGUUUGUGGAUACCAAUGACCUAUUCUGUCCAAAAAAUGCUUCCAAUCAUUCUUAAUACUCU
This 223-nucleotide long non-coding RNA is filed under the name Capsella rubella. Its description in RNAcentral is "long non-coding RNA (CRUB_LNC002985)". The record is from RNAcentral. Lineage: Eukaryota; Viridiplantae; Streptophyta; Magnoliopsida; Brassicales; Brassicaceae.